UACGAUUUACCGCGUAUCAACCAUCCAGCACCGGACGGGCGGUAACGGAUAGUAGCAAUACAAUGCAGUAUACACAGAAGGCAGGCAGCGUCGAUGUAAAUGAACAGACGGUUAUCGUUUGCCGAGACCCUUUAUCGGGACUGGAAAGGAAGGGGAAAGGAGGGCACAGGGGAAGGAGGACAAGCUAGAAGGUGAUGGGUGAAACCAGAAACAACAGCCCAUCCAGCCAUUCGGACUCCUCCCUCAAUCACUGAGGAGCCAUCAGUGUACAGAAUCCUCUAUCAUGCGCACUAGCUUCCCAACGUUGAGGACAUCUUCAAAAAGUGAUGCUUCAAAAAGGUGGCAUCCAUCAUUAAGGACUCCCAUCACAUGGACAUGCCUUCAAGGAGGAGGUACAGGAGCCUGAAGACACACACUCAAUGUUUUGGGAACAUUGCUUCUUCUCCUCCGUCAUGAGAUUUCUGGACAUUGAACAAAUGCGCACCAGCUCACUAUGUCUUUUGCUCCCUUUGCACUACUUAUUUAUAUAUUUUAUAGAUAUCUCUUAUUGGAAUGUGAAUUUUUGUACUGCUGCCACAAAACAACAAAUUUCUCAAUGUGUGCCGGUGAUAUGUAAUCUAAUACUGGUUCAAUAGAGGUAUCCCAUUGUAAUGAUUUGCAACUUAGUGGCAUGGAAUUAAAAAGUCAUAGAAGAGUACAACACAGAAACAGGUCCUUCAGUACAUCUAGUCCAUGCCUAACCAUUUAAACUGCCCACUCCCAUCGACCUGCACCAGAACCAUAGCCCUCCAUAUCCCUACCAUCCAAUGCACACAAUACUCCAAAUUUGGCAAACAAUAUCUUAUACAACUUCAACAUAACAUCCCAUCUCUUGUACUCAAUACUUUAAUGUAUGAAGGCAAAUGUGCCAAAAAAUAUCUGUACAACCCUAUCAAUCUAUAAUGCUACUUUCAAUGAAUUAUUAUUCAUAUUAUUAUUCUUUCACAGAUAUGGACAUCAUAGUCUGUGUCUUAUGGUAACAGUGUAGCAGCUACACUGUAGCUGGAUUCACUGGGCUUGUUCGUUGGAUGAUGAUAUAAGGUGACUCGACCAUUUAUCAGUCUUUUCUGGUCCAGGAGGCUGAUGAGAAACAAUCUUUCUCCUUUCAAAGGUUCCAUCUCCAGUGAUAUGUGUCUUCACUUCAUUGGUUCUCGAAGAGACUGAUGGUCAGUGUCACUGCCCUCAGAGGGGCUACUAGUUUGUGUUGCUACCUUCAGAAAGGCCACUGAUUUAAUUCACUACCUUCGGAGAGGCCGCUGGGUCCUGAUGCACUUGGAGAUGUUAUCUAAGUUCUAAGAUUCAUGGAUUGUCUGUAGUUCAUACUGGCCUCUUUUAGUUCUAUGUCCCCUUUGUGUUCUCGCCGAUUCACAGGCUGGGGUUUGGGUGUUCUGAUAUUUUAUGUGCGAGAGAAGAAUUGGUUGCAAGGAUUUAGGGUUUGGGAGUUCUUGUUUUUUUCUUUUUGUGCAUGGGGUGAUUGAUGUCUUUCUUUCAACUCCUUCUAUGGUUUUCUGUGUUUUAAUUGUUAUCUGUAGAAGUCAAAUCUCAGAGUUAUAUCCUACAUUUAUACUUUGAUAAUAAAAUUAACCUUUGAA
This is a long non-coding RNA of Hypanus sabinus (Atlantic stingray), 1631 nucleotides long. RefSeq lists it as uncharacterized. The transcript is spliced from 2 exons. NCBI's taxonomy places the organism in Eukaryota, Metazoa, Chordata, Chondrichthyes, Myliobatiformes, Dasyatidae. The record is from RefSeq and is a predicted model, not a curated record.